This 97-nucleotide microRNA precursor is filed under the name Canis lupus familiaris (dog). RNAcentral's name for it is "mir-544 microRNA precursor family". It matches the Rfam family "mir-544 microRNA precursor family". RNAcentral also lists the same sequence under 2 other names. Lineage: Eukaryota; Metazoa; Chordata; Mammalia; Carnivora; Canidae. The record is from Rfam by way of RNAcentral.
GUCACCUGGGGAUCUUGGUAAAAUGCAGGUUCUGAUUCAGUCUGUCAAGAGUGGGAAUAGGAGUCUGCAUUUCUAACAAUCUCCCAUGUGAUGUCAA